Molecule: long non-coding RNA, 1028 nt
Organism: Gambusia affinis (western mosquitofish)
Lineage: Eukaryota; Metazoa; Chordata; Actinopteri; Cyprinodontiformes; Poeciliidae
Exons: 3
Source: RefSeq, a predicted model, not a curated record
ACUGCCCGGACUUAGCUAAGCGCUGUCUGUGCAAGAGCUAGAGGCCAGAAGCCACACGGUUCUUACAUGAGAACAACUCGGUUGUCGUUGUAAUUCAUCUGUUGCUGAUAGAAAAACUAAUACAACCCAUAAAUAUCACCUGAUUAGAGACAGGAAGUCCUGGCAGGAAGCUCAGAGUUACUGCAGAGAGAAACACACAGACCUGAUCAGUGGAACGAAGCAACUAGAGGAUGAAGAAGUGAAGAAAUUGAUGAAUAUAUCUGGAUUUAUGGAUUAUUGGAUUUUACCAAUCUACAUUGGUCUGUUCAGUGACACCUGGAGGUGGUCAGAUGGAAGCAGUUUCUCUUUUGAACCCUGGUAUCUACAGUUUUACUAUCAACCCAACAGUUUUCGAUGUGCUGUGACUGUGUUUGAUGAUGGAGGCAGAUGGAGGAAAGAGAACUGCACUGAAAGAAAACCCUUCAUCUGUUAUGAUGAUAAAGUGAUCCUGAUCAAAGAAAAUAAAACUUGGCAUGAGGCCUUGACCUACUGCAGAAAGAACCACCAUGACCUGGUCACCAUCACCAACAUGGACGAUCAGAAAUGGAUCCAGGAGAAAGUCAAGAACGCAUCGACUGGUUAUGUCUGGAUUGGGCUGCGUUUCAGCUGCAGUAUGAAUGUUUGGUUCUGGGUUUGUGAUAACUGGACCUGGGAUGGUCAGAAGGAUGAUUGUAACAUGUUUGGAGCCAUGGAGGCAGGAGGAGAGUAUCGAUGGUUUCAAAGAAACGGCAGCGAGAGAUUUAACUUCGUCUGUACUAAUAAAUAAUUCUUCCUCUUCUUUUUAUUAUCAGCUUGUUUCACUUUGUGCAUCUUUUUGGGUUUAAUAAAAUUCACAAAACCACAUUUGAAUUUUGUCAACAGAUGAUCCAUUACGCAAAACUUUAAAUUAGAAAUUAUUUGCUUUAAAUGAAUUGUGGAGAAUUUAUGUUGUUUAUCUUGUCUAAUAUAUUGUAAAGACUUAUCUUGUUGCCUUUCUGAUAUUUCAUGAC